AUGGCUUCGCGGCUGCGGCGGCGGGCAAGGAGGCUGCUGCGGCUGCUGCGGCAUCGACUGCAAGCUUCCAAGAAGCGUAAGAUCGACGACCAAGAUCCAUCGGGGAGUGGCAACUGCGACCAUGUCGAUGGGGGAAGCGUCGAUCACAUCAGCCGAGUCCCCGACGCCGUCCUCGGCACCGUCGUGUCUCUUCUCCCCACCAAGGAAGGUGCCCGCACGCAGGUCCUCUCCCGCCGGUGGCGUCCGAUCUGGCGCUCCGCUCCUCUGAAUCUCGCGCUGGACUGUGAACUCAAGAACCUGGACUCGAUCCCAAAGAUCCUCUCUGAGCAUACUGGCCCCGCGCAACGCUUCUCCGUCCGCCUCUUCACCGACUGCGGCGACGAGAUCGAUGGCUGGCUUAGCUCCCAAUCCCUGGACAUGCUACAGGAGCUCGAGCUCACCUGCAUGUUCUGGCUCGGCCGGCGUCCAUUGUCCUUGUCGGCGUUCCGAUUUUCGCCCACUCUCCGCGUGGCCAAAUUCCACGGGUUCCAUUUCCCCAACUCGAUCUCGCAGCUGUCCCUCAAGUUCCCCUGCCUCAAGCAGCUGACCCUGAAAAAGGUCGUCAUCUCGGAGGACGUUCUCCAGAGCAUGCUCUCUGGCUGCUCUGCCUUGGAAAGCCUCGAGCUAAAGGAAAGUCGGGGCAUCAGUCGCCUCUGCAUCAGCUCCCAAACUCUUAGGAGUUUGGGAUUUUUCGUUGACUGGUGGAAUGGAAGUAAUCAUAUCUUUUUGCAAGAGUUAGUCAUCGAGGACGCCCCGUGCCUUGAGAGAUUGCUACCACUUAAUUCAACGGGCAGCAAAGUGGUCAUACGGAUAAUCUGCGCGCCUAAACUGGAGAUAUUCGGUAUGCUCCUGUCUGAAGUCAUACCCGAAUUCCAACUUGGGAGUUCAAUUAUUCAGGAAGGGGUUGCUGUCAGUUUGACAACCAAAAUGCACACCAUGAGGGUUUUGGCUCUCAGCUCUACUGGCCCUAAUCUGGAUGCAGUGGUUAACUUCCUCAAGUGCUUCCCUUGCUUGGAGAGGUUGUAUGCCAUUUUCCGGUUACCCUCAUACGACCCAGGGGAGUAUAUGAAUGCCCGGAAGUAUGACCCACUGGACCCAAUUGAAUGUCUUGAGCUUCAUCUCAAAAAAGUAGUGUUGAAGAAUUAUGUCGGCAGCAAGACUUCAUAUAUUGACUUUGCCAGGUUCUUUGUUCUGAAUACAAAAGGGCUAGAGGAAAUGAAAAUCACAUUGCGUUACCACCGCCAGCACGGAUGGUUUUCUCAUCAACUCAGCCUGCUACGAGUCACAAGUAGAGCUUCUCGAGAUGCUCGAAUUGAAAUGAGAUGUGGCACUAACGAUGAUUUCACACACAACAGGGAUGCCCAUGAUUUCUCAAUGGGUGACCCCUUUGACUUGCCCUCCAGCGGAUGCUCAGCGUGUGAAGAGGAGGGUCUAGGAGAUGCUGUAUACCAAAUUUAA
Molecule: ribosomal RNA, 1497 nt
Filed under: Triticum aestivum (bread wheat)
Lineage: Eukaryota; Viridiplantae; Streptophyta; Magnoliopsida; Poales; Poaceae
Description: partial small subunit ribosomal RNA
Source: RNAcentral